RNAcentral lists this long non-coding RNA (1395 nucleotides) under Ricinus communis (castor bean). RNAcentral's name for it is "long non-coding RNA (RCOM_LNC000048)". The record is from RNAcentral. Lineage: Eukaryota; Viridiplantae; Streptophyta; Magnoliopsida; Malpighiales; Euphorbiaceae.
GGAAUAUCAGACAGCUUUAAGUAGGAUACAAGAAGCGGAGGGGAUCAUUAAAUAUUUGAAGUUAGAAAAUGGAGAACUCAAGCAAGACCUAGAUGCUUAUGGCAAUAAAGAAAAAGAAUUGAAUCAGAGAUUGGAGGAGAUUAGCAAAGAGAAGGACAACUUGAAUCUAGAAGUUGCAGACCUGAAGAUUAAGUUGACAGCUACGACUGAAGAAAAGGAAGCUUUCAAUUUGGAACAUCAGACCGCUUUAAGCAGGAUACAAGAAGCAGAGGAGAUAAUUAGAAAUUUGAAGUUAGAAGAUGAAAGAUUAGAUGCGGAGAAAGAGAAACUUUCAGUCGAGAAUGGAGAGCUCAAGCAAGACCUAGAUGCUUAUGGGAAUACAGAAGCAGAAUUGAAUCAGAAAUUAGAGGAGAUGAUCAAAGCGAAGGACAACUUGACUCUAGAAGUCACAGACCUAAAGAGUAAGUUGACAGCUACCACUGAAGAAAAGGAAGCUUUCAAUUCGGAACAUCAGACAGCUUUAAGCAGGAUACAAGAAGCAGAGGAGAUCAUUAGAAAUUUGAAGUUAGAAGCUGAAAGAUUAGAUGUGGAGAGAGAGAAAUUUUCGAUUGAGAAUACAGAACUCAAGCAAGACCUAGAUGCUUAUGGCAAUAAAGAAAAAGAAUUGAAUCAGAGAUUGGAGGAGAUUAGCAAAGAGAAGGACAACUUGAAUCUAGAAGUUGCAGACCUGAAGAGUAAGUUGACAGCUAUGACUGAAGAGAAGGAAGCUUUCAAUUUGGAACAUCAGACUGCUUUAAGCAGGAUACAAGAAGCAGAGGAGAUAAUUAGAAAUUUGAAGUUAGAAGCUGAAAGAUUAGAUGCGGAGAAAGAGAAACUUUCAGUCGAGAAUGGAGAGCUCAAGCAAGACCUAGAUGCUUAUGGGAAUACAGAAGCAGAACUGAAUCAGAGAUUGGAGGAGAUGAGCAAAGCGAAGGACAACUUGACUCUGGAAGUCACAGACCUAAAGAGUAAGUUGACAGCUAUCGCUGAAGAAAAGGAAGCUUUCAAUUCGGAACAUCAGACAACUUUAAGCAGGAUACAAGAAGCAGAGGAGAUCAUUAGAAAUUUGAAGUUAGAAGCUGAAAGAUUAGAUGUGGAGAGAGAGAAAUUCUCGAUUGAGAAUAGAGAACUCAAGCAAGACCUAGAUGCUUAUGGCAAUAAAGAAAAAGAAUUGAAUCAGAGAUUGGAGGAGAUUAGCAAAGAGAAGGACAACUUGAAUCUAGAAGUUGCAGACCUGAAGAUUAAGUUGACAGCUACGACUGAAGAAAAGGAAGCUUUCAAUUUGGAACAUCAGACCGCUUUAAGCAGGAUACAAGAAGCAGAGGAGAUAAUUAGAAAUUUGAAGUUAGAAGCUGA